AGAGUUUGAUCAUGGCUCAGAAUGAACGCUGGCGGCGUGCUUAACACAUGCAAGUCGCACGAGAACGUUUCCUUCGGGAAGCUAGUAAAGUGGCGAACGGGUGAGUAACACGUGGGUAACCUGCCCUUAAGAUGGGAAUAACUUCGCGAAAGUGGAGCUAAUACCCAAUAAUAUUCCUGUUUCCAAGAUAUGGGAAUCAAAGGUAGCCUCUAUAUGCAUGCUAUCACUUGAGGAGGGGCCCGCGUCCCAUUAGCUUGUUGGUGAGGUAAUGGCUUACCAAGGCUCCGAUGGGUAGCCGGCCUGAGAGGGCGAUCGGCCACACUGGAACUGAGAUACGGUCCAGACUCCUACGGGAGGCAGCAGUGGGGAAUUUUGCGCAAUGGGCGAAAGCCUGACGCAGCAACGCCGCGUGGGUGAUGAAGGUCUUCGGAUCGUAAAACCCUGUCUUGCGGGAAGAAAUGCUUCGUCUUUAAUAAAGGCGUUG
This 484-nucleotide ribosomal RNA is filed under the name uncultured bacterium. RNAcentral describes it as "bacterial SSU rRNA". It matches the Rfam family "Bacterial small subunit ribosomal RNA", at positions 8 to 472 of the family's 1533-position model. The record is from RNAcentral.